RNAcentral lists this ribosomal RNA (254 nucleotides) under uncultured bacterium. Its description in RNAcentral is "partial 16S ribosomal RNA". It matches the Rfam family "Bacterial small subunit ribosomal RNA", at positions 524 to 776 of the family's 1533-position model. The record is from RNAcentral.
UACGGAGGGUGCAAGCGUUAUCCGGAUUUACUGGGCGUAAAGGGCGCGUAGGCGGCGUGACAAGUCACUUGUGAAAUCUCCGGGCUUAACUCGGAACGGCCAAGUGAUACUGUCGUGCUAGAGUGCAGAAGGGGCAAUCGGAAUUCUUGGUGUAGCGGUGAAAUGCGUAGAUAUCAAGAGGAACACCUGAGGUGAAGACGGGUUGCUGGGCUGACACUGACGCUGACAGCGCGAAAGCUAGGGGAGCAAACGGG